RNAcentral lists this ribosomal RNA (314 nucleotides) under uncultured bacterium. Its description in RNAcentral is "bacterial SSU rRNA". It matches the Rfam family "Bacterial small subunit ribosomal RNA", at positions 775 to 1081 of the family's 1533-position model. The record is from RNAcentral.
AGACAAUAGAUACCCGGGUAGUCCUAGCCGUAAACGAUGAGAACUAGGUGUGGGGGGUAAAGUCCUCCGUGCCGACGCCAAACGCAUUAAAGUUCUCCGCCUGGGGACUACGGCCGCAAGGUUAAAAACUCAAAGGAAUUGACGGGGGCCCGGCACAAGCGGUGGGAGCAUGUGGAUCAAUUCGAUGCAACGCGAGGAACCUUACCUGGGCUUGACAUCCCGUGCAAUCCGAUGAAAGUCGGGUUCCGUAGCAAUACGGCGCGGAGACAGGUGGUGCAUGGCUGUCGUCAGCUCGUGUCGUGAGAUGUUGGGUU